Long non-coding RNA from Cygnus olor (mute swan), 1103 nucleotides. RefSeq lists it as uncharacterized. Lineage: Eukaryota; Metazoa; Chordata; Aves; Anseriformes; Anatidae. The record is from RefSeq and is a predicted model, not a curated record. The transcript is spliced from 4 exons.
GCUGUGGAGAGGGGACUUUUCGCCUCUCCCAGGAGGGCCACUGUCAGUGCGUGGAGAGAAAGCCCUCGGGUGUCUCCUAGUCCUGUUAAGAAUAAACUGAGUAGAACCAACAUGGAGACUUCUCUGAGAAGUCAGUCAGACCCCAAAAGCAGCACAGAAGGAAGUUUAUGCCAGUGUUAGGGCGUGAAAUGACCAUGUGGGAGCACAGAGGCACCGUAGUUAGCAGUUACUCGAUGGAAUCGAGGUGAUCCUCCUGCCAAAAGCAGAACUCACAGACCUUCCGUACUGAAAUACUGCACAGUGCGGUGGAGACGCGCACACGUUGCAUGCAGGGGGCUGAAAUCGCACCAGCUAGUGCCAUGCAGUGGGACUGGAGAUGGGCUGAUGGGAAGGGAAAUGGGUGUGUAAAGUAGGGAAAGGACAGAAGCCAUGCAGAUGGCUGGAGAACUGGAAUGGAUGAAGAGCCCCUUCAUCACUAAAAGUGCUAGCUGGCAGUUGAACUGCCUUCCUGACGAGUUUUGGUCUCGUUGUCUUCAGGACUGCUAAUCAUAUGGGAUUUUUUUUUAGAAAACCUGUUGGCUAAGGAACGUGUUCACCUGUUUCUUUUCCUUUUCAGACUUCCAAAUUUGCCUUGACUCUUUCCUCUGUGCAGAUUGCUGUGCAUUCAGUGUCACUUCUUUGUUAUCAGAUGCCCAAAAUGAAAUUUUCUUCUUAAGGGUUAUGUUCCAACCUCUUUGGCAUGUUUUAAGGGAAGUGCCUUAAAUUACAGCCUGCCUUGUGGAAAGAAAAGUGACAUUUUGUGCAAGUGGAGAUUAUCUUCCUUCGUUUUGACUGAUUGUCCAGCUACCAAGAAGGGUGACACAGGUAUUUAUUUCCUUGUUGAAAAUGAGGCAAUGAAAUUGAGCUCAAUCUACGACUAUAAGGAAAUGCUUUUUUAAGAAUCCCCUGGACUUAGUGUCUGUUUAUAAGAUAGGAUAUUACUGAGAAAGUCUCUAUACUCUUAUUGUAAUAAAUCUAGACUAUUUGGUGAUCUAAUCUCUGUAAAAACUACUUAUCAGCCUCUACGUUGUACUUUUUCAGAAUAUUCACAUGCUUAUUGCAGC